GAUGAACGCUGGCGGCGUGCUUAACACAUGCAAGUCGAACGAGAAAUGUAGACGGAAACCUUCGGGCGGAAGCCUUCAUUUCGAGUGGCGGACGGGUGAGUAACGCGUGGGUAACCUGCCUCAUACAGGGGGAUAACAGUUGGAAACGACUGUUAAUACCGCAUAAGACCACAGCAUCGCAUGAUGCGGGGGUAAAAACUCCGGUGGUAUGAGAUGGACCCGCGUUCGAUUAGCCAGUUGGCGGGGUAACGGCCCACCAAAGCGGCGAUCGAUAGCCGAUCUGAGAGGAUGACCGGCCACAUUGGGACUGAGACACGGCCCAAACUCCUACGGGAGGCAGCAGUGGGGAAUAUUGCACAAUGGGGGAAACCCUGAUGCAGCGACGCCGCGUGAGUGAAGAAGUACUUCGGUAUGUAAAGCUCUAUCAGCAGGGAAGAAAAUGACGGUACCUGAGUAAGAAGCCCCGGCUAACUACGUG
RNAcentral lists this ribosomal RNA (478 nucleotides) under uncultured bacterium. RNAcentral describes it as "partial 16S ribosomal RNA". It matches the Rfam family "Bacterial small subunit ribosomal RNA", at positions 28 to 507 of the family's 1533-position model. The record is from RNAcentral.